This 460-nucleotide ribosomal RNA is filed under the name uncultured bacterium. Its description in RNAcentral is "partial 16S ribosomal RNA". It matches the Rfam family "Bacterial small subunit ribosomal RNA", at positions 338 to 795 of the family's 1533-position model. The record is from RNAcentral.
CCUACGGGUGGCAGCAGUGAGGAAUAUUGGUCAAUGGACGAGAGUCUGAACCAGCCAAGUAGCGUGAAGGAUGACUGCCCUAUGGGUUGUAAACUUCUUUUAUAUGGGAAUAACAUGUUCCACGUGUGGGAUUUUGUAUGUACCAUAUGACUAAGGAUCGGCUAACUCCGUGCCAGCAGCCGCGGUAAUACGGCGGAUCCGAGCGUUAUCCGGAUUGAUUGGGUUUAAAGGGUGCGUAGGUGGAUUGUUAAGUCAGUUGUGAAAGUUUGCGGCUCAACCGUAAAAUUGCAGUUGAAACUGGCAUUCUUGAGUACAGUAGAGGUGGGCGGAAUUCGUGGUGUAGCGGUGAAAUGCUUAGAUAUCACGAAGAACUCCGAUUGCGAAGGCAGCGCACUGGACUGCAACUGACACUGAGGCUCGAAAGUGUGGGUAUCAAACAGGAUUAGAUACCCUUGUAGUC